CCACCGGCUCCCCCGCGGCCUUCGGCGGCCCGGGUGCGGGCUAGCGAGUGUAAGGCGUCUGCUGUCAGCAGAGAUGGCCUCGCCUCCCCAGCUAGAGGCUGAUUUGGUGGAUGACGAGUUGCCCAUCAGCCGGCAGCGCCCUUGUGGCCCGGAGGGCCAAGGGUGUCCUGAGGCAAGAAUGUAGAAGGUUUAGGGAGGUGAUGCUGUCCGUCUGCUCGGCCCUCGUGAGGCCGCAUCUAGAGUGCUGGGUCCAGUUCUGGCCUCCUCCGUAAAAGAGAGACAAGGAGCUACAGGAAGAGGUCAUAAACAGUGGCAACAGUGGCUAUAAACAUUAGAAAUUUUACUUCAACAUAAGGAAGAAUUUAUUUUAAAUUGAACGUGGCAGAACGCUGGAACAGGCUGUGCAGAAGAUGAAGGGCUUCCCUCUCUGGAGAUACUCCAAACCCACAGGGAUGUGUUCCUACGUAAUCUGCUGAUAGAAACUUGAACAAAGGUAAAGAAUGGAGCUGAUGUUUUCCAAGCAGCAUAUGAACAGUGAUCAGUGCACAGCCAUGCUGACAGAAUUUGAAUUACACUUCUGUAUAACAAUCAAUUCCUGUGGAUCUGACUGCUGGACAAGGGGCACAGACUGUAAAUGCUAAGAUAAAGGGAGUCACCUGUCUCAGUUCUGACAUGUAUACCUGUAUAAAUCUGUACCAUGGAUGCUGGGGAGGGAACUAAAACUCUCAGAUAACUUGGGAAUUCAAUGGAAGUCCAAGAAGAAACCUUCUUGUUAUCCAUUUAUGUAUUUUUAAAGAAAGAGUAAAAAUUGACAGCAAUUUUGUGCAAUUUCAUUCACAAACAGUUAUUCUUGAAAGUUUAACCAAAAAGAGUUAAUGCUUAAAAGAACCAUUUUCAGUGGAAAAACAUUACUCAAUCCUCUGCUGUUCUUGUAAAUGUAAUUGUUAGUCUGUAUGUAAGAUCUCUGUUGGUUGUAAUUCUGGGACAAUAUUACUUCUCCUAGCUUUAGUUUUCCUGUUUCAUGCUGUGUAUGAACUAGUACUUAUUUCUUAGCACAUAAGAAUUAGUUUUGGUCAGCUGAAGAGUAGGUUGCAGUUGAGUUUUAGACCUCUGAACUGGCACAAUAGGCAGCUGUGUUUUCAGAGGUAAGUUGGGAAGGCAAAAGGCCUUGAAAGAGAGGGAUUGAAAUAAAAUGUACUCUUAGGGCCUAAAAAGGCUCAUGACUGGAGAUGAAUGACAUGUUUCUCUUUGACUGAACUACUUUACGGUAAAAACAAAGGCAUUAUUUGUAGAGAGAUUUACCUUAGCUCUUUAAAAUUUUAUGACUGCCCAUGCAGUCCU
Non-coding RNA from Zonotrichia albicollis (white-throated sparrow), 1341 nucleotides. NCBI's taxonomy places the organism in Eukaryota, Metazoa, Chordata, Aves, Passeriformes, Passerellidae. The record is from RefSeq and is a predicted model, not a curated record.